CCGCGUGAGUGAAGAAGGCCUUCGGGUUGUAAAGCUCUUUCGCAAGGGAAGAAAACUUAUGAUCGAAUAAUCAUGAGGUUGACGGUACCUUGAUAAGAAGCACCGGCUAACUACGUGCCAGCAGCCGCGGUAAUACGUAGGGUGCGAGCGUUAAUCGGAAUUACUGGGCGUAAAGCGUGCGCAGGCGGUUUUGUAAGUCGGAUGUGAAAUCCCCGGGCUCAACCUGGGAACUGCGUUCGAAACUGCAAGGCUAGAGUGUGUCAGAGGGGGGUAGAAUUCCACGUGUAGCAGUGAAAUGCGUAGAGAUGUGGAGGAAUACCAAUGGCGAAGGCAGCCCCCUGGGAUAACACUGACGCUCAUGCACGAAAGCGUGGGGAGCAAACAGGAUUAGAUACCCUGGUAGUCCACGCCCUAAACGAUGUCAACUAGUUGUUGGUAGAGUAAAAA
RNAcentral lists this ribosomal RNA (447 nucleotides) under beta proteobacterium wo07. RNAcentral describes it as "bacterial SSU rRNA". It matches the Rfam family "Bacterial small subunit ribosomal RNA", at positions 397 to 836 of the family's 1533-position model. The record is from RNAcentral. Lineage: Bacteria; Pseudomonadati; Pseudomonadota; Betaproteobacteria.